UUAAGUUCAGCGGGUAGUCCUACCUGAUUUGAGGUCAGAGUCAAAAAUUGCCCGAGGGCGAUUGUAAGCAGUCAUCACAACCUUCACCGACGAAACUUAUUACGCCGACUACGGUGCUAUCCCGCUAAGUCUUUUAAGGCGAGCCAGACAAGCUGGCAGCACCCAGAUCCAAGCCAAUAAGAAACCCUAUUGGUUGAGAG
Molecule: unclassified non-coding RNA, 200 nt
Filed under: Saitozyma sp.
Lineage: Eukaryota; Fungi; Basidiomycota; Tremellomycetes; Tremellales; Trimorphomycetaceae
Description: partial internal transcribed spacer 2
Source: RNAcentral